This is a long non-coding RNA of Crotalus tigris (Tiger rattlesnake), 1982 nucleotides long. RefSeq lists it as uncharacterized. NCBI's taxonomy places the organism in Eukaryota, Metazoa, Chordata, Lepidosauria, Squamata, Viperidae. The transcript has 2 exons. The record is from RefSeq and is a predicted model, not a curated record.
CCGCCUCCUCGGGCUUCGGUGGCGCUGCCGUUGCCGGAGAGACGGGCGGGUUUUUGAAGCCACGUCCCCCUGCCCGUCCCUGCGGUGGGGCUGCUCCCGGCACUUGCCUGCGGAGGGGCUUCUGCGGAGGAGCUCAGGCGGGAUGAUCGGGGGGCCUCGAGAAACGCAAACCGAGGCUUCGUUGCGGGGAAUGAAUUCCGCACCGAGGAGGGGAAAGCCUUUCAAAAACAGCCGCUGGCCGGGCGCGAAAGGUCGCGACUCCCCAGAAGGGAGCGAACAGCUCCUUUGACUCCUGCUCCGUUAUUUUUUGCAGUCUUUGUCCCGCCAGUGGUCUCGGAGCGACACGCGCGGCCUUUCCGCUUCCAAACGGCACCUGCUUAUCAAACCCGCGGACGAAUUUUACACGUUAAACGCUAACUAAAGGAAGCCCGUUGCUUCCUAGCAGCAGGUGAACCCUGCUGUGUCGGAGCUAUUGCUCGCUCGGAUCCCCAUUCGUGUCUACAGGACGAAUGCUAAUAGUUGACUCGCGUGACACAAUCUAGGCAGGCCAGGGAGCUGAGACAGACGUGGGGAGCCAAAAGUCAUCGCAUCUGGCCAGAGGCCUUCCGGGAGAGGCACAAAGAAACAGCCGAGCAAGUUUUAGAAAGCAGAAGCGCCUGGAAACCCCGUGCCAGGAUUUGGCAUUGGCCUUCAGGUGGGCUGGAAAUAGAUACACUCCCCCCUCUUAACACGGGUCUCACAAGGAGCCGGGUUCCACCCUUCAGCUCAACCGGGUCUGGAACCACCCCGUUUCCUUUUAUUGGUACAUUUCCCCAUUGCUGUAGCCUGGGAGGCUGCCAAAGAGUCGCAUCAUUUUUGUGCAAGGGAUCCAAGGAAGAUGAGCUGCUCUGUGGACACUUCAGCCAAACUGUGCCUGGCCAUCAGACAAAAAAGUUACAAUUCUGAACCAGGGAAGCUCCCCGAGAAGAUGGAAAACAACACAAGCUGCACCAACUCCAUCCAGGGCAGAACACUGUGGAAACUACAUCAGGCCCAGAGUAGGCUGAAUUUGGCCCCAACUCAGGCUGAGGGUAUCACCCAACCGCCGGAAGCAGUAACUGAUCAACUAGCCCCUUGGCCCUGGCUGACGAAGCAUGCUCCCGAGGAAGAAAAGUGCCUUGGGAAAAGAUGACUGAGCCACACAGCAAUUAAACUGGUUUCUUCUGGGCUCAACACACAUUUAAUUUCAAAUCCCCUAGUUAUUUUUGCAUCUUAUAGAUUGUAGGUGUACAUCCACGUUAGCAUGUCAUGAAAGGAAGUACAAUUUCCAAGUAGAGCCACUGAACGUAGUGCAAUUUCCCCAUGGCUCCCUGCGCCUGGCACGAUUCCAUCCAGAGGCCCACGGCCAAGCUCUUCCUUACAUGCUGCUUCAAGCAUGGGGAACAUUCAGGGCUAGGCAGAGAAAGGGACUGCAUGCACGAUUCCGUGGCCAGCGGGAGAGGCAUUCCUGCUUCUGAGCAGCCCCCCCCCUUGCUGCAAUGGGCAGACGAAUGGGACAGUGGGAGUCAGGAACCGGGCAGCCCUUGGGACACUUGGCAUCAGAGGUGGGCUUUAGAGUCAAGGUCCGGUUGCUCCCAUGCAAGCUCUCACUGCUCAGCUGGGAUGGGCUACGCUGAGGCUGGCUGGUCAGUCUCUGGCCUCCCGUUGUGUUAUUGCAUAUAAAUACAUCUGGUGAGUCCCUCCCUCAUAGCAAGAGCGGGGAUGUGACUAUGGCUUGUUCACAAGGACAAGGGGCCUUCACACAUUUGGGCAGCUGCCUACUCUCCGCUUCGGCCUUCUUCAUCCUGGAAAGCAGGAAGAUCCAGGAGCCAAGCACGGUGCUCAAGGUGCGGUUGACAAGCAAAGUGGGAGACUUCUCGGAGAUGCUGGCUGAAAUUCUGGAGGGUCAUUUGGAAGAGCUUCUGCCCUUCACCCCCUCCAGGCCACCUUUGUGGGCUUUAUCC